UACAGAGGGUGCGAGCGUUGUUCGGAAUUAUUGGGCGUAAAGCGCUUGUAGGCGGCUUGUUAAGUCGCGUGUGAAAUCCCCAGGCUCAACCUGGGAAGUGCGCGCGAAACUGGCGAGCUUGAAUGCCGGAGAGGGUCGCGGAAUUCCCGGUGUAGAGGUGAAAUUCGUAGAUAUCGGGAGGAACACCAGUGGCGAAGGCGGCGACCUGGACGGACAUUUGACGCUGAGACGCGAAAGCGUGGGGAGCAAACAGGAUUGAGAUACCC
RNAcentral lists this ribosomal RNA (266 nucleotides) under uncultured bacterium. RNAcentral describes it as "partial 16S ribosomal RNA". It matches the Rfam family "Bacterial small subunit ribosomal RNA", at positions 524 to 787 of the family's 1533-position model. The record is from RNAcentral.